GAUGAACGCUGGCGGCGUGCCUAAUACAUGCAAGUCGAGCGAACAGAUGAGGAGCUUGCUCCUCUGACGUUAGCGGCGGACGGGUGAGUAACACGUGGAUAACCUACCUAUAAGACUGGGAUAACUUCGGGAAACCGGAGCUAAUACCGGAUAAUAUAUUGAACCGCAUGGUUCAAUAGUGAAAGACGGUUUUGCUGUCACUUAUAGAUGGAUCCGCGCCGCAUUAGCUAGCUGGUAAGGUAACGGCUUACCAAGGCAACGAUGCGUAGCCGACCUGAGAGGGUGAUCGGCCACACUGGAACUGAGACACGGUCCAGACUCCUACGGGAGGCAGCAGUAGGGAAUCUUCCGCAAUGGGCGAAAGCCUGACGGAGCAACGCCGCGUGAGUGAUGAAGGUCUUCGGAUCGUAAAACUCUGUUAUUGGGGAAGAACAAAUGUGUAAGUAACUAUGCACGUCUUGACGGUACCUAAUCAGAAAGCCACGGCUAACUACGUG
RNAcentral lists this ribosomal RNA (497 nucleotides) under uncultured bacterium. RNAcentral's name for it is "partial 16S ribosomal RNA". It matches the Rfam family "Bacterial small subunit ribosomal RNA", at positions 28 to 507 of the family's 1533-position model. The record is from RNAcentral.